UACUCUGAUAGCGUAAUCCUCUGAUUUCUCCUUCUGGAGGACAGAUUAGAACAUGGCUUGAACUUACAUGACAGGUGAUUGACAUCUCUGCGUAAGCAGAACUUAGCAAUACUUUACUUCUAUUCUGCC
Molecule: small nucleolar RNA, 129 nt
Organism: Dipodomys spectabilis (banner-tailed kangaroo rat)
Lineage: Eukaryota; Metazoa; Chordata; Mammalia; Rodentia; Heteromyidae
Product: U8 small nucleolar RNA
Exons: 1
Source: RefSeq, a predicted model, not a curated record